UCGAGACCGAAACACAAUGAGCGAUUUUGUGAACCUGUAAAAAUAAGCGGUGCCUGUAGUGCUGCGAUAAAAUCCACUCGAGUCAUCGCCUCAUCCCCUCUUUGGGGUGGGGACGUGAUGAAGGAUGGAUGAACCCUCAAAUCGGCGCAGCGUAGCGCCAAGGGAAUCUUGAAACACAAGCCCAUAAAUGGGUUUUGUGGGAUGGGGUGCUGUCGCACGCCAUAUUGAUUGACACGACUCUCGGCAAUGGAUAUCUCGGCUCUCGCAUCGAUGAAGAGCGCAGCGAAAUGCGAUAUGUGGUGCGAAUUGCAGAAUCCCGCGAACCAUCGAGUCUUUGAACGCAAGUUGCGCCUGAGGCCAACCGGCUGAGGGCACGUCCGCCUGGGCGUCAAGCAUUUUAUCGCUCCGUGCCUAGUCUCCCAUCCAUGGAUGUGUUGCCAAGGCUCGGAUGUGCACGGUGGCUCGUCGUGCCCCUUGGUGCGGCGGGCUGAAGGGCGGGUCAUCUUCUCGUUGGCUGCCAACAAUAAGGGGUGGAUUAAAUAAGGCCUAUGCUAUUGUGUCAAGCGCGCCUGAGAGAUGGUCAUACUUAUUAGGUGAUCCCAAUUCAUGCGUCGAUCCAUGGAUGGCGUAUCGAAU
This 636-nucleotide ribosomal RNA is filed under the name Dendrobium hercoglossum. Its description in RNAcentral is "eukaryotic LSU rRNA". The stretch from base 236 to 391 matches the Rfam family "5.8S ribosomal RNA". The record is from RNAcentral. Lineage: Eukaryota; Viridiplantae; Streptophyta; Magnoliopsida; Asparagales; Orchidaceae.